Lagopus leucura (white-tailed ptarmigan) is the source of this 2077-nucleotide long non-coding RNA. RefSeq lists it as uncharacterized. The record is from RefSeq and is a predicted model, not a curated record. The transcript has 2 exons. NCBI's taxonomy places the organism in Eukaryota, Metazoa, Chordata, Aves, Galliformes, Phasianidae.
GAGCCGGAGCGUGACUCGAGCAUCGCUGUGGAAGCCCGCGGCCGCCCCCUCCCGAGCUCGGAGCCGUCCCCUAAAGUUUAUUUUUAGCCCCCGGAAAGCGCUAUAAAGGUCCCGCCGAGCGAGCGGGACUGGGAGACGUGGCAUCGUGCUGCCUGCAGCCACUUCUCUGAACUGUUACCUUCAAAAUGAAGAGAACAAAGAAUGCCUUGGAAAAAUCCAGUCGUAACAUCUGAGGAAUAGAAAUAAUAGGAAAUACUUGUAAGGUCAGAAUUUGGAUGGAAUUUAUGGAAAGUUACAAAAGGCCCUAUUACAGUUGAAUCUAGAUUUGGGAAUUUUAAUUUUAUACUUAAUAAAGAUAUCAGUGCAUCUUUUCCUCUACUUUGGAUGAUAAUGCAUUCUGUUGUCUUUAGCCUUGCACAACUUUCUUAUACCAACUAACGUACCUUCAGCUUAAUUCUUUAGUUGUUAGACCUAAGACACCUCCUCACACCAAGCUAGAGCAUGAAUUUAAUAAACCAUUUGUUGUUCCUCUCUGUUUGAUGGUCCAUAAUUAGAAAUAUUAGAGCCCUGCAUUUCUAAUCCCCAGCAGAACAAGUGGCAUUUGAAUAAAAGGUAUACAACCUUAUCCCUUAUCACUUAUGCCAAAAGUACAUAAUAUCGAGCUCAUGUGCACUUAAGGCUUUCUGUGCUAAGUAGAGGUGAUAUUUGGCCUAACUCCUACGUUUGUGGAAUUAAAACAUGAUAAUUUUUAGAAGAGUUCUUACUUAACCAAUUGUGUAGACAUCAUACGUGGGCAAUAUUUAUGUGACACUAAUGUAGCAUUAAGAGCCCUAAGACAAAUUUUGUCCAUGAAAACAUACAAAACAGUCAGAGAGUGCCAGACAAUGAGAAGUACUGUGUGAGAAGAGACAGUACCAACGGAAGUCUAAUCCUAAUGAUAUUUUCCUCUGUUGUCCAUACACUCUGUUCAGUUGCCUGCUGAGAAAAACCUAGGUGGUAUUAUUUACAACUGAUCUUUUUUGAGUUUACUUUCCUGAUUUUAAAUACUAAAACAUGCACCUCAAAGUCUGUUUUUCUGUCUCGUUAAUCUUAAUUCAUGGCAGAACAGACCAAUAGUAGUGUAAGGAGGCGCCUAUUUCAUUCUAGGUUUGAAAGGAAACCCAAGAAGCAGCUCUCCAAAGUUGUUUUGUUGUUGUUGUUGUUUUGCAUCCUGGCACUUCUGAUUUAGUAGCUGCUCCUCCUGUCUGCGUUUGAGGUCAAACAUUUAAGUGUUGAAUAAAUGUAAGGGAGGUUUCUCUACCAAGUGUCAUUUACAAGAGCAGAUGCUGCAGGCUGUGAAUUAGGGAUAGUGGAUAUUAGUCUCACAUCAUCUAUUGACUGUUAUUAAUAACCUUGUUUACAUCUAAUCCCUGCCCCAAAUCCCUCCCAUAUGGUACUCAAGUACCAAUUUCUUAUGUUUUCCAAAGGUCACGUAUCAUCAGCACCAAGAAAAGACCACAGGUCCUCUGACACAGCACCACCACUGUGCAAAAUCUGUGUUGAGUUAAACUCUCUACAGACAUACUUUCAGCUUUUAUGCUGUGCUUUGUCCCAAAGUGGUACUCAGAACAAAGGCAUUCCAUUUCCUAAGCAGCUGAAAACUUAGCUAGCAAAGUAAAGUGCACUUAUUCAUUGCAGGCAGUCCAUUUAAAUAUGCACAGCUAUCUUCUAUGUGUUUCUUCCAUUUAAAUAAUCUGCAUAAAUCAGCCUGCAUCGUAGCUUUGUCAGCUGCUGAUCUGCAACAAUGAGAGGAAGUAGAAAGCAAUAGAAUUAAUAUCCACUGGGUGAUCGUAGUUCUGGCCUAACGUUGGAGUGUUUGACUAAUUGAUUGCCCUUAGCACUCUGCUAACAACAGAUGUAUGGUAUGAGUUAAAUUAUUAAAUUUACAUUGCUCUUAUUGCUUUCCCUGAAUAGCCUGAAACAGUUGUCAUUAUUGAAAUUAUUUAAAUCAGAAACAUUGUAUUCAAAAAUGUUUUAAUUGAUUUUCUUAAUUUUUGUUAAUAAAAACUGCUCUAUUAAAAGUACUGUGGGAUAAUGA